Long non-coding RNA from Argentina anserina (silverweed cinquefoil), 704 nucleotides. RefSeq lists it as uncharacterized. The record is from RefSeq and is a predicted model, not a curated record. The transcript has 4 exons. NCBI's taxonomy places the organism in Eukaryota, Viridiplantae, Streptophyta, Magnoliopsida, Rosales, Rosaceae.
GUCACCAAAUAUAGCAGCAACAAACUUUAUCCAUUCACCUCCGCCUCGGCGGCGCAGGCCAAACCAAGAAAUAGAAGCCUAUGGCAGCUCAGAUCACCACGAAACCGAAAUGUCCAACCGCCGAUCACACGCUUUCUAUUUUUAUUGCUGAAGGAGUUUUCUUUCCGGAGCUGAACUACUUGUUUGCGUAGCUGGAGGAUGGCGUCGGCGAAGUUCGGCCUACGCCGGCGCCGGCCGAGAUCAUUAUAUGUUUAAAAGGUGAGAUUUUGAGAAGGGAAGUGAUUUAGGGAAUUGGCAUCUGUUGUUAUGAAGCGUGUUGAGUUAUUGGAGAAAUGAGCUGAGGCUGGGGAAGUUGUCUUUAUGUUACAAGAUUUUAGUGUGUUCUUGGGAUUAAGGUGAAGAUCAUGGUUGAUUGGGAUCCCAAGGGUUAGUAAGGCUGCAUGACACCCCUACCUGAUCUGGUCAUCUCACAUGUCUUUGGAGGAAGGAUACACCAGGCCCCCAUUCUGCACAAUGGAAGUAUCAUAGAAGUGCCGGUUGUGGUCACUGACUAGAUUUCUUUAUUCGCAAUUUUUUUGAUCUUGUAAAGUCAAGAACAUGAAGAUGUACUUUUCAUAGUCACUUAUUCAAACUGCUAUGCACCAAUGAUAAUUAGUCAUGUUUGGAGUUUGUACAACAUAUUAAUACUACUGGGAUGUAUGCUA